This 471-nucleotide ribosomal RNA is filed under the name uncultured bacterium. RNAcentral's name for it is "partial 16S ribosomal RNA". It matches the Rfam family "Bacterial small subunit ribosomal RNA", at positions 29 to 507 of the family's 1533-position model. The record is from RNAcentral.
ACGAACGCUGGCGGCGUGCUUAACCCAUGCAAGUCGAACGCUGAAGCUUGGUGCUUGCACUGGGUGGAUGAGUGGCGAACGGGUGAGUAAUACGUGAGUAACCUGCCCUUGACUCUGGGAUAAGCCUGGGAAACUGGGUCUAAUACUGGAUAUGACAUGCCACUGCAUGGUGGUGUGUGGAAAGGGUUUUACUGGUUUUGGAUGGGCUCACGGCCUAUCAGCUUGUUGGUGGGGUAAUGGCCUACCAAGGCGACGACGGGUAGCCGGCCUGAGAGGGUGACCGGCCACACUGGGACUGAGACACGGCCCAGACUCCUACGGGAGGCAGCAGUGGGGAAUAUUGCACAAUGGGCGGAAGCCUGAUGCAGCGACGCCGCGUGAGGGAUGACGGCCUUCGGGUUGUAAACCUCUUUCAGCACGGAAGAAGCGAGAGUGACGGUACGUGCAGAAGAAGCGCCGGCUAACUACGUG